CUGGACUUUAGCUGUGUCCACUGGAGAGGGCAGUGGCUGCCUGGUGCAAGUGUCUGUCAGGGUGAGUAAAACGGUCUUCAUGUGAGUGGUAGAGGCUGAAGCUGGGAAUGCCCAGUGUUCCAAACAUGGUGUGAUGGAUCAAAGACCAAGCGGACCUCUGACAGUCUCGUGACUCUGUGCAAACAGCAGCUAUCCUGGGCUAUUCUAGGAGGCUUCCUUCACUCCCCACAGCAGGAGUUCCAUUGGUACCAGAUGUCUGGAGAGAGAAAACCAAACUCAAGUCACCCUGCUCUGUCCCCAGAAGCCCUCCCGUUAGAGCCAGGCAGCCGCUGUGGAGCAAGUUGUGGGAAGAAGUGAAAUUUCACAUCUUUAAGUCUCUGCUCCUCUUGAAAAAAACAGUAGAGUCGUAAAAAGUUCUUUUUGCACGUGUCAACUCCUGUGCUGCAAUAUGCCACGUGAACUUUCUCUGUCAUUACAAGUCCCAUCACUUGGGAAAUGAAGCCGUGAAAUGUCACCCCAAGUGCAUAGGAAGACCUGCUCCUUGCAGCCGGGAACCGUGUCCAGAGUUAGUGUUCCAUGCAUAUGUCACCCUGGUUGUCUGCGAAAGGCUUGCGUCUCUCUCCAUGGGAUUUCUCCAGAAGAACCACAUUCGGGUUUUCUUGUCAAAUUCACGGAGCUCCAGCUAGCAAGGGUAGAGAGCACGCCAGGGAUCGUGCUGUGUGCCCACAGACGAAAGGAGCCCCAGCCCUAAGUC
RNAcentral lists this long non-coding RNA (754 nucleotides) under Ictidomys tridecemlineatus (thirteen-lined ground squirrel). Its description in RNAcentral is "lncRNA (ENSSTOG00000032134.1)". Lineage: Eukaryota; Metazoa; Chordata; Mammalia; Rodentia; Sciuridae. The record is from RNAcentral.